UACGAAGGGGGGCUAGCGUUGCUCGGAAUCACUGGGCGUAAAGGGUGCGUAGGCGGGUCUUUUAAGUCAGGGGUGAAAUCCUGGAGCUCAACUCCAGAACUGCCUUUGAUACUGAAGAUCUUGAGUUCGGGAGAGGUGAGUGGAACUGCGAGUGUAGAGGUGAAAUUCGUAGAUAUUCGCAAGAACACCAGUGGCGAAGGCGGCUCACUGGCCCGGUACUGACGCUGAGGUGCGAAAGCGUGGGGAGCAAACAGG
Molecule: ribosomal RNA, 255 nt
Filed under: uncultured bacterium
Lineage: Bacteria
Description: partial 16S ribosomal RNA
Rfam family: Bacterial small subunit ribosomal RNA
Source: RNAcentral